CAGUAGUCACGAGUUUGACCUGGCUCAGAACGAACGCUGGCGGCGCGCCUAACACAUGCAAGUCGAACGAGAAUCCGGGGCAACCCGGUAGUAAAGUGGCAAACGGGUGAGGAAUACAUGGGUAACCUACCCUUGAGAAGGGAAUAACCCGCCGAAAGGUGAGCUAAUACCCUAUACGCUAUCUUUUUUUCGAAAAGGAUAGGAAAGCCGGGUCGAGGACCUGGUACUCAAGGAGGGGCUCAUGUCCUAUCAGCUUGUUGGUGGGGUAACGGCCUACCAAGGCUACGACGGGUAGCUGGUCUGAGAGGAUGAUCAGCCACACUGGCACUGAGAUACGGGCCAGACUCCUACGGGAGGCAGCAGUGAGGAAUAUUGCGCAAUGGGCGAAAGCCUGACGCAGCGACGCCGCGUGGGGGAUGAAGGUUUUCGGAUUGUAAACCCCUUUCAUGAGGAAAGAUAAAGUGGGUAACCACUUAGACGGUACCUCAAGAAGAAGCCACGGCUAACUUCGUG
RNAcentral lists this ribosomal RNA (513 nucleotides) under uncultured bacterium. Its description in RNAcentral is "bacterial SSU rRNA". It matches the Rfam family "Bacterial small subunit ribosomal RNA", at positions 1 to 507 of the family's 1533-position model. The record is from RNAcentral.